Molecule: ribosomal RNA, 279 nt
Filed under: uncultured bacterium
Lineage: Bacteria
Description: partial 16S ribosomal RNA
Rfam family: Bacterial small subunit ribosomal RNA
Source: RNAcentral
UGCCAGCCGCCGCGGUAAUACGUAUGUCCCAAGCGUUGCCCGGAAUUACUGGGUGUAAAGGGUUCGUAGGCGGUUUGGUAAGUUGGAUAUGAAAGACCGGAGCUCAACUCCGUGUUUGUGUUCAAAACUGUCAAACUAGAAUUAGGGAGAGGUUAGCGGAAUUCUGAGUGUAGGGGUGCAAUCCGUAGAUACUCAGAGGAACACCAAAAGCGAAGGCAGCUAACUGGAACUAUAUUGACGCUGAGGAACGAAAGCGUGGGGAGCGAAAAGGAUUAGAUA